RNAcentral lists this ribosomal RNA (253 nucleotides) under uncultured bacterium. RNAcentral describes it as "partial 16S ribosomal RNA". It matches the Rfam family "Bacterial small subunit ribosomal RNA", at positions 524 to 776 of the family's 1533-position model. The record is from RNAcentral.
UACGGAGGGGGCGAGCGUUAUUCGGAAUUAUUGGGCGUAAAGGGCGCGUAGGCGGCCUUGUAAGUCAAAGGUGAAAUCCCUCGGCUCAACUGAGGAACUGCCUUUGAAACUGCAAGGCUUGAGGCCGGGAGGGGGUAGCGGAAUUCCCGAUGUAGCGGUGAAAUGCGUAGAUAUCGGGAGGAACACCAGUGGCGAAGGCGACUUCCUGGCCUGUUCUUGACGCUGAGGCGCGAAAGCUAGGGGAGCAAACGGG